UACGAGGGGGGGCGAGCGUUGUUCGGAAUUAUUGGGCGUAAAGGGUGCGUAGGCGGUUUGGUAAGUCUGAUGUGAAAUCUAUGGGCUCAACUCAUAGUCUGCAUCGGAAACUGCCGGGCUUGAGUGUGGGAGAGGUGAGUGGAAUUCCUGGUGUAGCGGUGAAAUGCGUAGAUAUCAGGAGGAACACCUGUGGCGAAAAGCGGCUCACUGGACCAUAACUGACGCUGAUGCACGAAAGCUAGGGGGAGCAAAACAGG
This 257-nucleotide ribosomal RNA is filed under the name uncultured bacterium. Its description in RNAcentral is "partial 16S ribosomal RNA". It matches the Rfam family "Bacterial small subunit ribosomal RNA", at positions 524 to 776 of the family's 1533-position model. The record is from RNAcentral.